CCUACGGGUGGCAGCAGUGGGGAAUAUUGGACAAUGGGCGAAAGCCUGAUCCAGCCAUGCCGCGUGUGUGAAGAAGGCCUUCGGGUUGUAAAGCACUUUCAGUGGGGAAGAAAGCCUUGGGGCUAAUACCCGCGAGGAAGGACAUCACCCACAGAAGAAGCACCGGCUAACUCCGUGCCAGCAGCCGCGGUAAUACGGAGGGUGCGAGCGUUAAUCGGAAUUACUGGGCGUAAAGCGCGCGUAGGCGGUCUGAUAAGCCGGUUGUGAAAGCCCCGGGCUCAACCUGGGAACGGCAUCCGGAACUGUCAGGCUAGAGUGCAGGAGAGGAAGGUAGAAUUCCCGGUGUAGCGGUGAAAUGCGUAGAGAUCGGGAGGAAUACCAGUGGCGAAGGCGGCCUUCUGGACUGACACUGACGCUGAGGUGCGAAAGCGUUGGUAGCAAACAGGAUUAGAUACCCUAGUAGUC
This 465-nucleotide ribosomal RNA is filed under the name Vreelandella stevensii. Its description in RNAcentral is "partial 16S ribosomal RNA". It matches the Rfam family "Bacterial small subunit ribosomal RNA", at positions 338 to 795 of the family's 1533-position model. Lineage: Bacteria; Pseudomonadati; Pseudomonadota; Gammaproteobacteria; Oceanospirillales; Halomonadaceae. The record is from RNAcentral.